This 223-nucleotide ribosomal RNA is filed under the name uncultured bacterium. RNAcentral describes it as "partial 16S ribosomal RNA". It matches the Rfam family "Bacterial small subunit ribosomal RNA", at positions 109 to 334 of the family's 1533-position model. The record is from RNAcentral.
AGUAAUGUAUAGGAAUCUGCCCAUGUAGUGGGGGACAACCUGGGGAAACUCAGGCUAAUACCGCAUGAGCCCUUCGGGGGAAAGCAGGGGAUCUUCGGACCUUGCGCUAUUGGAUGAGCCUAUGCCUGAUUAGCUUGUUGGUGGGGUAACGGCCUACCAAGGCGACGAUCAGUAGCUGGUCUGAGAGGACGAUCAGCCACACUGGGACUGAGACACGGCCCAG